Molecule: ribosomal RNA, 481 nt
Filed under: uncultured bacterium
Lineage: Bacteria
Description: partial 16S ribosomal RNA
Rfam family: Bacterial small subunit ribosomal RNA
Source: RNAcentral
UUGCACGCUGGCGGCAUGCCUUACACCUGCAAGUCGAACGGUAACAGGUCUUCGGAUGCUGACGAGUGGCGAACGGGUGAGUAAUACAUCGGAACGUGCCCGAUCGUGGGGGAUAACGGAGCGAAAGCUUUGCUAAUACCGCAUACGAUCUACGGAUGAAAGCAGGGGACCGCAAGGCCUUGCGCGGACGGAGCGGCCGAUGGCAGAUUAGGUAGUUGGUGGGAUAAAAGCUUACCAAGCCGACGAUCUGUAGCUGGUCUGAGAGGACGACCAGCCACACUGGGACUGAGACACGGCCCAGACUCCUACGGGAGGCAGCAGUGGGGAAUUUUGGACAAUGGGCGAAAGCCUGAUCCAGCCAUGCCGCGUGCAGGAUGAAGGCCUUCGGGUUGUAAACUGCUUUUGUACGGAACGAAAAGACUCUUUCUAAUAAAGAGGGUCCAUGACGGUACCGUAAGAAUAAGCACCGGCUAACUACGUG